UUACGAUACAUGUAAAAAAUACUAGAAAAUUCCAGGCUAAAGAGGUCAACAAACUGCAGGUUAAACGAAAUAGUUUAAUUUUCGAUGUGUGCGUGUUUGAGCGGUCCAAGAUUUAUUUUUAAAUUUUAGUGUGUAAAAAAUUCCAACUAAUAAAAACUGAAACGAGGUAAUCAAGAGGAAAGUCUUUGUAGGGGUGGUGGAAUGGUAUUUUUGUAUGGUUCGUUUUUUAGCCGCAAACCAGUUAACGACUACGGUGCAUAAAUUGGGAAAAACUCAUAAAAUGUAUUACCCAUCGGAGUUUAAACUACAAAAUGUUUAGGUGGUAUCAUUAAAUCCCCAAAAAUCACAUCUUCAUUGAAGACUUUAAAAUGUCACACAAUUAAAACAGGAUGUACCACUUCGUAAGAAUGUGCAAAGUUCACAACAAACUUCGCAGAAGUGGUGAUGUGAGUUUCCGGUAACUCACAUCACUUAAUGAUUGUUGAAGAGGCUGGAAUACAGAGGAGAUGUGUUGUGGAAGUUUGUUUAAAAGAACACCUUAGCAAAUUUUUCAUUUCAAAUAAAAUAGUGUUUCACA
Molecule: long non-coding RNA, 577 nt
Organism: Zophobas morio
Lineage: Eukaryota; Metazoa; Arthropoda; Insecta; Coleoptera; Tenebrionidae
Exons: 2
Source: RefSeq, a predicted model, not a curated record